GUUGCCUUGGUAGUGAUGUUUUAUUACAACAAUAGAAAAGUAAUUAAUACAAUGGAUUUGUGGCGGUAGUGAUUGGCACUGGUUGUUUUCAUUUUUGGAGAUAGGGUCUUGCUCCAUAGCCUCAAACUCCUGAUCCUAUUGCCUUAGCUUCCAGAAUAUGGGAUGACAGGUGUGUGCCAACACCACACCAGAUAUCACUACUGACUUUGAAGAUAGAAGGUGCUGUGGAACAAUCUUUACUAAAUAAUACAGCAAUGAAGACCUGGGAACCAAUCUUGACUUUCACUGUUUCCCUUCCCCACCCCUAAUUUUCACAAUUUUACAGAGAACAUUUUAAUAAAUAAAGUUUGCUGUGGAAUAA
Long non-coding RNA from Myodes glareolus (Bank vole), 361 nucleotides. RefSeq lists it as uncharacterized. The record is from RefSeq and is a predicted model, not a curated record. NCBI's taxonomy places the organism in Eukaryota, Metazoa, Chordata, Mammalia, Rodentia, Cricetidae.